AUGGGUACAGGGGAAUUGGAAUGGAGUUUUUGACGUUUACAUGUAGGUCCGUAAUUUCAAUUAUUCUGGAAAUAGUUAGUGGUAUUUUAGUUCCAGAAUCUAUAAAUUUAGGGGUUAUAUUCCGAAACCCCCAAUAUAAAGAGACGAAAUUCCGUAGUCCCGAAUAAGUAAAGACAAAAUUCUGUGUUAAAGAUUCUACCAUUCCUCAAUAAUAUCAAAUUGGAAUAUGGGAUAUUCUUUCAAUUUUUAAGGUUAAAGAAACAUGGAAAAAAACUAAUCCAUGCAUGUUUCAUAUUAUUUAUAUUUUAUUUAUCUGUAAAGAGAAAGAUUAAAGUUCGUGAAAUGAAUACGCAGACAGGACUGCCUCUUGCGAUGCCCAGUUCUUGAUUUGUCAAAAGUUGGUGAAACGGAGAAAUGAAUACGCAGACGGGACUGCCCCUUCCGAUGACCAGUCCUUGAUUUGGCAGUCUACGUAUCGUUUUUGGAUUGUUCUAAUGAAGUAAUAUGCAAUACUCAGACUCUGUUCACAAAAAAAAACUAGUUUACUAGAAUUAUUCCUUCUUUACCUUCAGUAUCGCUUUUCCUUUUUCUGCAAGAGCCUGUUUUUAACUAUAGAGAUCCCUGAUGAUUAUCAUUUCUAUGUUAAUGUAAUCGAGAAACAUCUCCCGUUGAGAUACUGAGUUAUAUCCAGGAAGAAUAGUUUAAAAG
RNAcentral lists this long non-coding RNA (708 nucleotides) under Mytilus galloprovincialis (Mediterranean mussel). Lineage: Eukaryota; Metazoa; Mollusca; Bivalvia; Mytilida; Mytilidae. The record is from RNAcentral.